GGACGCGGAGCUGUUGGGAUCGCGCCAUGGCCUGGGCCCCUCUCCUGCUCGCGGUGCUCGCCCACGGCUCAGGUUCCCUGGUCCAGGCAGCAGUGACUCAGCCGCCCUCGGUGUCCGUGUCCCCGGGAGACACCGUCCGGAUCACCUGCUCUGGGGCUAGCAGCCGUUACUACAGCAGCAGCAACUAUGGCUGGACCCAGCAGAAGCCUGGCAGUGCCCCGGUCACUGUGAUAUAUCAGAACGACAAGCGACCCUCGAACAUCCCUGCUCGAUUCUCCGGUUCCUUGUCUGGAUCCACAGCCACGUUAACCAUCACCGGGGUGCAAGCCAAGGACGAGGCCGUGUAUUACUGUGCUAGCAGCUCGUAUUACUAUGCUGGUAUCUAUGCUGCUUCCCUGGUCCAGGCAGCAGUGACUCAGCAGCCGGCCUCGGUGUCCGUGUCCCCGGGAGAAGCUGCCCGGAUCACCUGCUCUGGGAGUAGCAGCAGCUCCUACAGCGGGAUCCAGCAGAAGCCUGGCAGUGCCCCGGUCACUGCGAUACGUGAUAACACCAAGCGGCCCUCGAACAUCCCUGCUCGAUUCUCCGGUUCCUUGUCCGGAUCCACAGCCACGUUAACCAUCACCGGGGUGCAGGCCGAGGACGAGGCCGUGUAUUACUGUGGUGGUAUGCAUAAGCAUUGA
Non-coding RNA from Rhea pennata, 680 nucleotides. Lineage: Eukaryota; Metazoa; Chordata; Aves; Rheiformes; Rheidae. The record is from the annotation of a RefSeq genome assembly.